GGGGAUUUAGCUCAGCGGUAGAGCGUUUGCCUAGCAAGCUCAAGGCCCUGGGUUCGGUUCCCAGCUCCG
This 69-nucleotide transfer RNA is filed under the name Rattus norvegicus (Norway rat). It matches the Rfam family "tRNA". Rfam says of the family: Transfer RNA (tRNA) molecules are approximately 80 nucleotides in length. Their secondary structure includes four short double-helical elements and three loops (D, anti-codon, and T loops). The record is from Rfam by way of RNAcentral. Lineage: Eukaryota; Metazoa; Chordata; Mammalia; Rodentia; Muridae.